GGAGAGCUUCCCCCAAAGAUUGGAGGGGAUGAGUCAGGGGCAAGGAAGGAUUAACAGAUUCUGCCUCAAGGCCUGGUGAACCAAGUCCUCUUCCCAAGACAGACGCGUACUAGUGAUGUAAAUUGGAUUUAAAUCAUCACCUGAGGCAAUCCUGAAAGAGAAAAGCAGUCCUAGAAAAGAGUGGAGGAAAAGAGGACAGCCCCAUUCUCUUUGUGACCACGAAGACUGCCACCAUGUGGAUGGGAGCCACGUGACUUCCUUUAGUGCCAGCUGAGAUUCUUCUGCCCUGGAACUAGUUCCUCAGAGUUAUUGCCAGGCCUGGAGAUUGAAUUCCUGCACCUGGAAGGUGGGGAAAGACAUAACCCCUCAAAACCAAAGCGGAACCUCUUCUAGGAGCUGAGAGAUGCAAGCCUGGGUUGAGAUGAAGACUCAAGUGGAGAAUCAGAACUCUGGAGCGUUACAAUCAUAGUAGGGAAGACAGAUGUGUGCAGGAAACCCAACGAUCAAGGCAAGGAGAGAAGUUGGAAGCCAGAAGUAAAGUUGGUAAUAAAAGAGUCAGAAGCAAAAUGAGGCAAGUUGAAAGGAAGGAAUGGCCAUGAAUGACUCUGACUUGGCUUUGCUAACAGAAAGUAUGUGCAUUACUUACUGGGCGGGCUAAGCAUAGCCAUGGUGGCCUAAUAGUGCUACACCAGGUUG
This is a long non-coding RNA of Gorilla gorilla gorilla (western lowland gorilla), 696 nucleotides long. RefSeq lists it as uncharacterized. The record is from RefSeq and is a predicted model, not a curated record. The transcript is spliced from 3 exons. NCBI's taxonomy places the organism in Eukaryota, Metazoa, Chordata, Mammalia, Primates, Hominidae.